GCGUAUUUUCCAUAUCAUAACUUUGCAGUACAGUUUUGGGGCAGUUCCUUUUGGUCUGCGCUUAGCGCAGUUCUAUUUAGUUUUCAUGCUAGUCUCUUCGUGUUAUUCGCAGUCCGUUUCACAACAGUUUUCUCUGGCCGAAACAAUUUUCAACCCACGCUGUUUGUAUCCACGCUAUUUGCAUCUACGCCGCUCGUAUGCACACUCUUUGUACCACGCCGUUUUGAUUUGUGGAGUUGUUUAU
This is a long non-coding RNA of Orbicella faveolata, 244 nucleotides long. Lineage: Eukaryota; Metazoa; Cnidaria; Anthozoa; Scleractinia; Merulinidae. The record is from RefSeq and is a predicted model, not a curated record.